Molecule: ribosomal RNA, 257 nt
Filed under: uncultured bacterium
Lineage: Bacteria
Description: partial 16S ribosomal RNA
Rfam family: Bacterial small subunit ribosomal RNA
Source: RNAcentral
UACGAAGGGGGCUAGCGUUGCUCGGAAUUACUGGGCGUAAAGCGCACGUAGGCGGCUUUCUAAGUCGGGGGGUGAAAUCCUGGAGCUCAACUCCAGAACUGCCUCGAUACUGGAGAGCUUGAGUCCGGGGAGAGGUGAGUGGAACUGCGAGUGUAGAGGUGAAAUUCGUAGAUAUUCGCAAGAACACCAGUGGCGAAGGCGGCUCACUGGCCCCGAUACUGACGCUGAGGCACGAAAAGCGUGGGGGAGCAAACAGG